Molecule: ribosomal RNA, 253 nt
Filed under: uncultured bacterium
Lineage: Bacteria
Description: partial 16S ribosomal RNA
Rfam family: Bacterial small subunit ribosomal RNA
Source: RNAcentral
UACGUAGGGGGCUAGCGUUGUCCGGAAUCAUUGGGCGUAAAGCGCGCGUAGGCGGCCCGGUAAGUCCGUUGUGAAAGUCAAAGGCUCAACCUUUGAAAGCCGAUGGAUACUGCCGGGCUGGAGUCCGGAAGAGGCGAGUGGAAUUCCUGGUGUAGCGGUGGAAUGCGCAGAUAUCAGGAGAAACACCAAUAGCGAAGGCAGCUCGCUGGGACGGUACUGACGCUGAGGCGCGAAAGCGUGGGGAGCGAACAGG